Molecule: ribosomal RNA, 484 nt
Filed under: uncultured bacterium
Lineage: Bacteria
Description: bacterial SSU rRNA
Rfam family: Bacterial small subunit ribosomal RNA
Source: RNAcentral
GAUGAACGCUAGCGACAGGCCUAACACAUGCAAGUCGAGGGGCAGCACGAAUCAAGCUUGCUUGAUUUGGUGGCGACCGGCGCACGGGUGCGUAACAGGUGUGCAAUCUGUCCAUAAUCGGGGAAUAGCCCAGCGAAAGUUGGAUUAAUGCUCCAUGUGAGUGAUUGAGGCAUCUCUUUCAUUUGAAACGUAAGGAUUAUGGGUGAGCACGCUUCUGAUUAGGUAGUUGGUGAGGUAACGGCUCACCAAGCCGACGAUCAGUAGGGGUUCUGAGAGGAAGGUCCCCCACAUUGGAACUGAGACACGGUCCAAACUCCUACGGGAGGCAGCAGUGAGGAAUAUUGGUCAAUGGACGGAAGUCUGAACCAGCCAAGUCGCGUGAAGGAUGAAGGUUCUAUGGAUUGUAAACUUCUUUGUCUGAGGGUAAAAAAGCGGACGUGUCCGUUCUUGCAAGUAUCAGACGAAUAAGCAUCGGCUAACUCCG